GCUAGGGGGCAGUAUUGACACGGCUGGAUAAAAAAACAUACCCGAUUUAAUCUGGUUACCACUCCUACCCAGUAACUAGAAUAUGCAUAUACUUAUUACAUAUGGAUAGAAAACACCCUAAAUUUUCUAAAACUGUUUGAAUGGUGUCUGUGAGUAUAACAGAACUCAUUUGGCAGGCAAAACCCUGAGACAUUUUCUGACAGGAAGUGGAUACCUGAUGUGUUGUAUUACCUUUAAACCUAUCCCAUUGAAAAACACAGGGGCUGAGGAAUAUUUUGGCACUUCCUAUUGCUUCCACUAGAUGUCACCAGCCUUUACAAAGUGUUUUGAGUCUUCUGGAGGGAGAUCUGACCGAACAAGAGCCAUGGAACGAUGAUGGCCCAUUAGACACCUGGCGCGCGAGUUCAUGUUGGGUACCCUCGUUCCAAUACAUUAUAAAAGAGUAUGCAUUUGUCCACCUUGAAUAUUAUUCAUGUUCUGGUUAAAAAAGGCCCUAAUGAUUUAUGCUAUACAACGUUUGACAUGUUUGAACGAACGGAAAUAUAUUUUUUCCCCUCGUUCAUGACGAGAAGUCCGGCUGGCUUACAUCAUGUGCUAACGAGACGGAGAUUUUUGGACAUAAAUGAUGAGCUUUUUUGAACAAAACUACAUUCGUUAUGGACCUGUGAUACCUGGAAGUGACAUCUGAUGAAGAGAAUCAAAGGUAAUGGAUUAUUUACAUAGUAUUUUCGAUUUUAGAUCUCCCCAACAUGACGUCUAGUCUGUAUCGCAACGCGUAUUUUUCUGGGCACAGUGCUCAGAUUAUUGCAAAGUGUGAUUUCCCAGUAAGGUUAUUUUUAAAUCUGGCAAGUUGAUUGCGUUCAAAAGAUGUAAAUCUAUAAUUCUUUAAAUGACAAUAUAAUAUUUUACCAAUGUUUUCUAAUUUUAAUUAUUUAAUUUGUGACGCUGACUUGACUGCCGGUUAUUGGAGGGAAACGAUUUCCUCAACAUCAAUGCCAUAGUAAAACGCUGUUUUUGUAUAUAAAUAUGAACUUGAUAGAACUAAAAAUGCAUGCAUUGUCUAACAUAAUGUCCUAGGAGUGUCAUCUGAUGGAGAUUGUAAAAGGUUAGUGUAUCAUUUUAGCUGGUUUUAUGGUUUUGGUGACCCUGUCUUUGACUUGACAAAACAUUACACACAACUCUUGUAAAUGUACUGUCCUAACAUACUCUAAAUUUAUGCUUUCGCCGUAAAACCUUUUUGAAAUCGUAAAACGUGGUUAGAUUAAGGAGAUGUUUAUCUUUCAAAUGGUGUAACAUAGUUGUAUUUUUGAAAAAUUUGAAUUUUGACAUUUAUUUGGAUUCAAAUUUGCCGCUCUUGAAAUGCACCUGCUGUUGAUGGAGUGCACCACAGGUGGCACGCUAGCGUCCCACCUAG
This 1414-nucleotide long non-coding RNA is filed under the name Salmo salar (Atlantic salmon). RNAcentral describes it as "lncRNA (ENSSSAG00000116797.1)". The record is from RNAcentral. Lineage: Eukaryota; Metazoa; Chordata; Actinopteri; Salmoniformes; Salmonidae.